RNAcentral lists this ribosomal RNA (423 nucleotides) under Triticum aestivum (bread wheat). RNAcentral describes it as "partial small subunit ribosomal RNA". The record is from RNAcentral. Lineage: Eukaryota; Viridiplantae; Streptophyta; Magnoliopsida; Poales; Poaceae.
AUGGAAAGCUUGCUGCAUUGGGAUUUUGCUCCGGGCCUAGCCCUUGCAGAUCAGGUGAGAAGGAAAUUUGGGUCCACCAUUCAUUUCUCCCCUUCUCGAGACGCCCAAGAGUUCUUUUUGGUCGUUUAUUUCUCUUCGGCCUCCUUCCCUCUCUCUGUUGAAACAGUGGGGAUUGCUUUGCAAUGUGUCUUGGAGGGAUUUCUUCUGGCUUCAGGGUGUCUCAGAUCAAUGCCCGGUCUUUUCGCUUCUCGGUGGCUAAUAACAAAGUGGGACAUUUUGUUUAUGGACUCAAAGACCGUAUUUGGCCUGAAUUUGUUUGCCAUUUCCAUCUGUUCAAUGGCUGUUUUGUCAAAGCUUAUUCUAUUGAUCGACAUUGGCAUGUUGAUACAGAGCUGGCUGAAAUUGUGGACCGGAAAUCUAUAG